GUGAGACUCCCUAUUUUUCUGGGACUGACUGAGACGAUUCCAUGGAGAUCCCAGAUGGUGGAGUUUCGUCUCUGCAGAACUAGGCCACCACCACUGUCUCCAUUACACACUGAAGUGCCAUUGCUCCAGCCAGCGCAGAAGACAUUCAAAAAUUCAUCUGAUCCAUCACGACAUUGGCGAGAUCCAUCGCAAAGUCUCGAGAUGGGGAUACAUUGCCCCCCACUCUCGCAAGAGAAUUCAUCCGAUCUGUUGAAAAUUAUCCUCCCGGGUAAACUGAAGGCAUUCGUCCCCCUGACAAUUCAUAGGGGCACAUUGGGAAGCCUCUUCGUCGCUUCCGUCGACACAAUCGUUCACUCCAUCACACAUCACUUCCCGGUGAACGCAUCCUCCGUAAUUACAUUGAAAGGAAUGUCCUGGACAUGGAAAGUCCCUACACAGAGCUUCGCUCUCAUCGCUACCAUCAGCACAGUCCAAGUAACCUUGACCGUUAUUUUUUAAAUUAUUUAUAACUCAUAUAAAGUUCAUUAAUGUUGCUGUCGUGGUAAAAAAUAAUUAUUUCACGAAAACGAAGCUGAUAAUUUAUUUAAUUUUUUGUGAAUAUGACGAAUCCUUUUCAUGAAUUAAAAUAAAUUGAGAAUAUAUAAAACAAAAAUAAAAAUAAAAAAAAUAUAUAAAAAAAUAUAAGAAAAUUUUGAAAUAUAUAAAAAAAUAUAAAAUAAAACAAAAAAAUUGAAAAAAUCAAAUCAAUAUUUUGGCUUAUGA
Long non-coding RNA from Diachasmimorpha longicaudata, 762 nucleotides. RefSeq lists it as uncharacterized. Lineage: Eukaryota; Metazoa; Arthropoda; Insecta; Hymenoptera; Braconidae. The transcript is spliced from 3 exons. The record is from RefSeq and is a predicted model, not a curated record.